Molecule: ribosomal RNA, 253 nt
Filed under: uncultured bacterium
Lineage: Bacteria
Description: partial 16S ribosomal RNA
Rfam family: Bacterial small subunit ribosomal RNA
Source: RNAcentral
UACGGAGGGUGCAAGCGUUAUCCGGAUUCACUGGGUUUAGAGGGUGCGUAGGUGGGUUGGUAAGUCAGUGGUGAAAUCCCCGAGCUUAACUUGGGAACUGCCAUUGAUACUAUCAGUCUUGAAUACCGUGGAGGUCAGCGGAAUAUGUCAUGUAGCGGUGAAAUGCUUAGAUAUGACAUAGAACACCAAUUGCGAAGGCAGCUGGCUACACGGAUAUUGACACUGAGGCACGAAAGCGUGGGGAUCAAACAGG